CCAAUUGUUUUAAUAACAAAUGACGUGAGUUGGGUUAAAGAUAGCCCAAAUAAAACCGGAUGAAUUGCAAGGAAGACCUCAGAUAGAGGUUAAUUUGCAGCGAAGCUUAUGAAGCAUAAUAAGUAAUAAGAACGUUCAACGACUAGAUGGUGAGUAAUGCAAACAAUAAUCCAUCCACGAGCGUCCGGGGUCAAGAGCUCAGCACUUGAUUAUGACAUAGUCUGUACAAUAGUGUAAACUAUUG
Thalictrum thalictroides is the source of this 244-nucleotide non-coding RNA. The record is from the annotation of a GenBank genome assembly. Lineage: Eukaryota; Viridiplantae; Streptophyta; Magnoliopsida; Ranunculales; Ranunculaceae.